Long non-coding RNA from Carassius gibelio (silver crucian carp), 1052 nucleotides. RefSeq lists it as uncharacterized. The transcript has 3 exons. Lineage: Eukaryota; Metazoa; Chordata; Actinopteri; Cypriniformes; Cyprinidae. The record is from RefSeq and is a predicted model, not a curated record.
UUUAGAGCGCGACAAAUGAAGAUUAAGCGGCUUUUGUUAGUGAGUUUGCAUUUGUCAAACUAACGUGUUAUCAAUUUAACAUCUCCUUACAAUGGCUUAAACAAACCUAAAAUCAACAGGAAGAUCGAAGAAACAAGACCAAAAAGCACCUGACAGAAGAAAGAAAAUCAGAUGGACUCAGAAUGACAUAAGCAGGAAUUACUGUGUGUCCGGCUGAAGGAGAGGUGUCAAACAUCCUUGACCUGAGUGGAGGAGUGUAGGGGGAGUGUGAUGAUGGCCCGCUCAGGCUUGAGUGAAGGCCUUGUUAAAUGGGCCGGCAUCAAGGGUAGCACACCCGCCACUGGAGGAUGGACGCCGCGUCAAUCCCACACCAUUCUGCAGAUCUCUCAGGGCAAUCAGCGAUACCUGAUGCAAAGCAAUCAGAAACAAAAUGAAACCCUGUUUGCGUGUAUUUUUUCAUCAAUUUAAAUCAGCAGAUUCAUUUUCCCUUCCUAUUUGCUGAACCUGCAUGAUUGAAAGGCAGUGGUUUUCUCCUCUCUCCACGUGAGGUUAAACAGAUUUUGAGAUAGUUGUCUGCUAGACUGGCUUCCUGGGUAUGUUUGUAUUCCAUUAGCCGGAUCCAGAGCUCUGCAUGUAGCUGCUGCAGUUGCUGAAGUAUCUAAGACGGCCUUAACCUCUUUCCUCACCCUUUCUCUAUUAUGCAAAUUUGUCCGGGCUCUAUGGAUACGGAGUCUGAUCAGGGAGUAAUUUUCUCUGGCCCUCUCUAGUGUUUUCAUUGAAACAAAUAGCCACUGCUGGCGUAAUGGAAAACCGGUGGUUGCAUAAUGCUGUUAAGAGAUGCAUUGCUAACAAUAUCAUAUGUCAAGGUCUGUGAGGGUGUUUUUUCUGUUUUAUUGUCUGAAGAUGCUAUAAGACUUUGUAUAAAAUGCUUAACCCUCUGUCAUUGUCUUGGAAAUGGUUUCCUAUCUGCUUCGUAAGCACAAUACAGAUGUAUGCAGUUCUCGGUCACAGGCACAAUGAUGUGCGAUGAAAUACUAUGCACACAAGACGAU